This 405-nucleotide ribosomal RNA is filed under the name Bacillota bacterium. Its description in RNAcentral is "Firmicutes bacterium partial 16S ribosomal RNA". It matches the Rfam family "Bacterial small subunit ribosomal RNA", at positions 355 to 776 of the family's 1533-position model. The record is from RNAcentral. Lineage: Bacteria; Bacillati; Bacillota.
UCGGGAAUUUUGCCCAAUGAGCGAAAGCUUGAGGCAGCAACUCCGCGUGAGGGAUGAAGGCUCUCGGGUCGUAAACCUCUUUUCUCAGGGAAGAUCCAAGACGGUACCUGAGGAAUAAGCCACGGCUAACUACGUGCCAGCAGCCGCGGUAAUACGUAGGUGGCAAGCGUUGUCCGGAUUUACUGGGCGUAAAGAGCGCGCAGGCGGCUGGUCAAGUCCGAUGUGAAAUCUCCCGGCUCAACUGGGAAACUGCAUCGGAAACUGACCGGCUUGAAGGUGGGAGAGGGUAGUGGAAUUCCCGGUGUAGUGGUGAAAUGCGUAGAUAUCGGGAGGAACACCAGUGGCGAAGGCGACUACCUGGCCCAUUCUUGACGCUGAGGCGCGAAAGCUCGGGGAGCGAACGGG